This is a long non-coding RNA of Labeo rohita (rohu), 856 nucleotides long. RefSeq lists it as uncharacterized. NCBI's taxonomy places the organism in Eukaryota, Metazoa, Chordata, Actinopteri, Cypriniformes, Cyprinidae. The record is from RefSeq and is a predicted model, not a curated record. The transcript has 3 exons.
UUUAAUUACAAUUGAACACAAUAUUUAAGUUUUACUGCAUUGCUUAUAAAAUAUAAGUAGAUUCUACUAAUUUGUAGACAUAUUUGAACCUGUGAAUAAACUUAAGUUAAAUUAACUCGUAUUAUGAAAUUUAUCUCCUGACCACGCCUCCUCCACCGGUGCUGCGAGUAACAGCGCCAUUUUGUCACUGUGAUUGUGUAUGAAUUUAAGCUGUGGAUGAAUGUGGAAAUUUAGAUUUAGAUAGUUCUAUUGGCAUUGUUUUCCGCCAUUUAUCUUUUAUCACGUCCCUCGAGAAACUCUUUGUGAUCGGCAAAAGUUGUUGUUCGUCUAAACGACGGGACAUUUCUCAUCCGUUGAUAGCUAGUGUUCUCACUCGCCUGCGCUUGAACCCCUGACUGGCGAGUUCGACUAACAUUUUUUGUUUUUUUCUUUCAAUGAUUUCUUUUUCACUCGAGGAGCUGUUGUUUGUGAGGAGUGUAAAUUUAGUUUUACUCAUACAGUAGCCGCGAUUCCAGCCGAGGAGCGACAAAGGUGGAGCUAAUAUGGUUCAGAGUCCUCUUAACGACUAUCUUGUUUUGGAAGAAAGAAGAAAUGGAAGAGAUGCUUUGAAAGUGAGGCAGCUGACAAGACAGACUUCAGUAAGGAUCCUCAGCGUUGAUCAAGAAAGUUCACAGCUCACCUCAUCUAGAGUGGGAAUCAUCUUGGAAGAAAGCUUGGUAAUGGAUGAACUGACCAAUCUCAGGCCUUCUAUGUCCAUUGUUUUCAGACUGAUUUCCCUGCCUACACCUGGACUAUCCUAAGUGUAUGAAAAGCAUUUUAUAUUUUUUGUCGGGAAAAGAUGAGCUGACACCUAAAA